RNAcentral lists this ribosomal RNA (254 nucleotides) under uncultured Peptostreptococcus sp. RNAcentral describes it as "partial 16S ribosomal RNA". It matches the Rfam family "Bacterial small subunit ribosomal RNA", at positions 100 to 355 of the family's 1533-position model. The record is from RNAcentral. Lineage: Bacteria; Bacillati; Bacillota; Clostridia; Peptostreptococcales; Peptostreptococcaceae.
CGGGGUGAGUAACGCGUGGGUAACCUGCCCUAUACACAUGGAUAACAUACUGAAAAGUUUACUAAUACAUGAUAAUAUAUAUUUACGGCAUCGUAGAUAUAUCAAAGUGUUAGCGGUAUAGGAUGGACCCGCGUUUGAUUAGCUAGUUGGUGAGAUAACUGCCCACCAAGGCGACGAUCAGUAGCCGACCUGAGAGGGUGAUCGGCCACAUUGGAACUGAGACACGGUCCAAACUCCUACGGGAGGCAGCAGCU